UACGUAGGUGGCAAGCGUUGUCCGGAAUUACUGGGUGUAAAGCGCGUGUAGGCGGCAGACCAAGUCGGCGGUGAAAGCGCCCGGCUCAACUGGGCGAGGUCCGUGGAAACUGGUCAGCUGGAGGACGGUAGAGGCGAGUGGAAUUCCCGGUGUAGUGGUGAAAUGCGUAGAGAUCGGGAGGAACACCUGUGGCGAAGGCGGCUCGCUGGGCCGGUACUGACGCUGAGGAGCGAAAGCGUGGGGAGCGAACAGG
This 253-nucleotide ribosomal RNA is filed under the name uncultured bacterium. Its description in RNAcentral is "partial 16S ribosomal RNA". It matches the Rfam family "Bacterial small subunit ribosomal RNA", at positions 524 to 776 of the family's 1533-position model. The record is from RNAcentral.